AACGAACGCUGGCGGUAUGCUUUACACAUGCAAGUCGAACGAACUGUUGGUAGCUUGCUAUCAACAGUUAGUGGCAAACGGGUGAGUAACGCGUGGGAAUCUGCCCUAUAGUACGGAAUAGCCGUUGGAAACGACGAUUAAUACCGUAUAUCUUCCCAGGAAGAAAGACUUGUCGCUAUAGGAUGAGCCCACGUUAGAUUAGUUUGUUGGUAGGGUAAUGGCCUACCAAGACUACGAUCUAUAGCUGGUUUGAGAGGAUGAUCAGCCACACUGGAACUGAGAUACGGUCCAGACUUCUACGGAAGGCAGCAGUGAGGAAUAUUGGACAAUGGGGGCAACCCUGAUCCAGCAAUGCCACGUGUGUGAAGAAGGCCUGAGGGUUGUAAAGCACUUUAGUCAGGGAGGAAGGUUCAUAUGUUAAUAGCAUAUGGAAUUGACGUUACCUGAAGAAUAAGCACCGGCUAACUCUGUGCCAGCAGCCGCGGUAAU
RNAcentral lists this ribosomal RNA (489 nucleotides) under uncultured bacterium. RNAcentral's name for it is "bacterial SSU rRNA". It matches the Rfam family "Bacterial small subunit ribosomal RNA", at positions 29 to 524 of the family's 1533-position model. The record is from RNAcentral.